This 510-nucleotide ribosomal RNA is filed under the name uncultured bacterium. Its description in RNAcentral is "partial 16S ribosomal RNA". It matches the Rfam family "Bacterial small subunit ribosomal RNA", at positions 28 to 507 of the family's 1533-position model. The record is from RNAcentral.
GACAAACGCUGGCGGCAUGCCUAACACAUGCAAGUCGAACGGACAGAACAGGGAAGCUUUUCGGAGUGGAACUGGAAAGUUAGUGGCGGAUGGGUGAGUAACGCGUGGACAACCUACCUUGUAAAGGGGAAUAACCUCGAGAAAUCGAAGCUAUACCCCAUAAUAACCUUGCUUCGCAUGAAGUAAGGAGGAAAGGCGGCCUUAGCGCUGUCGAUACAAGAUGGGUCCGCGUCUGAUUAGCUAGUUGGUGAGGUAAAGGCUCACCAAGGCGACGAUCAGUAGCCGGCCUGAGAGGGUGAACGGCCACAUUGGGACUGAGACACGGCCCAAACUCCUACGGGAGGCAGCAGUGGGGAAUCUUCCGCAAUGGGCGAAAGCCUGACGGAGCAAUGCCGCGUGAGUGAAGAAGGCCUUCGGGUUGUAAAACUCUGUCCUUAUCGAAGAGAGAGUGUUGUAGUAACUGACAAUACUAGGACGGUAGAUGAGGAGGAAGCCCCGGCUAACUAUGUG